This 343-nucleotide unclassified non-coding RNA is filed under the name soil metagenome. RNAcentral's name for it is "partial contains 5.8S ribosomal RNA, internal transcribed spacer 2, and large subunit ribosomal RNA". The stretch from base 1 to 120 matches the Rfam family "5.8S ribosomal RNA", at positions 35 to 154 of the family's 154-position model. The record is from RNAcentral.
GAUGAAGAACGCAGCGAAAUGCGAUAAGUAAUGUGAAUUGCAGAAUUCAGUGAAUCAUCGAAUCUUUGAACGCACAUUGCGCCCGCUAGUAUUCUGGCGGGCAUGCCUGUCCGAGCGUCAUUUCAACCCUCAAGCCCCAGGGCUUGGUGUUGGGGAUCGGCGAGCCUCCGCGCCCGCCGUCCCCUAAAUCUAGUGGCGGUCUCGCUGUAGCUUCCUCUGCGUAGUAGCACACCUCGCACUGGGAAACAGCGCGGCCACGCCGUUAAACCCCCAACUUCUGAACGUUUGACCUCGGAUCAGGUAGGAAUACCCGCUGAACUUAAGCAUAUCAAUAAGCGGAGGA